Molecule: unclassified non-coding RNA, 231 nt
Filed under: fungal sp.
Lineage: Eukaryota; Fungi
Description: partial internal transcribed spacer region
Rfam family: Eukaryotic small subunit ribosomal RNA (bases 1-48)
Source: RNAcentral
AAAAGUCGUAACAAGGUUUCCGUAGGUGAACCUGCGGAAGGAUCAUUACUGGAUAUUCUCUUCAUCGAGAUAUCAUAUCAUGUGUGAACUGUUUAACUAGACACUUGGCGUGUUCGGCAUCACUUGAUUGCUGGCCGCCAUAUGGUUUUUACCACUCUAUCUAUUAUGAUUGACCCUGAAAAUGAGACUUGAAAUCAUUGAAAACUUUUAGCAAUGAAUCUCUAGGCUCUU